GAUGUUUAUAGGGAGCCCACUAACAAAUCUUGUCCUCCUUCUUCUUCUUAUCAUUCCUCCUCCCCACCUACAUCCCUUUCUAGACCAAGUCACAUUAAAUGUUUUAAAUGCUUAGGACAUGGUCAUAUAGCAUCUGCCUGCCCCAAUAAAAAGGCAACAUGCAUUGAGGGUGAAGCCAUUGUCACUAAUGAGUCUACCUCUUCCUUACCUUCACCAAUUUAUGACUCUUC
RNAcentral lists this long non-coding RNA (230 nucleotides) under Vigna radiata. Its description in RNAcentral is "long non-coding RNA (VRAD_LNC012178)". Lineage: Eukaryota; Viridiplantae; Streptophyta; Magnoliopsida; Fabales; Fabaceae. The record is from RNAcentral.